This 831-nucleotide long non-coding RNA is filed under the name Manihot esculenta (cassava). Its description in RNAcentral is "long non-coding RNA (MESC_LNC000383)". Lineage: Eukaryota; Viridiplantae; Streptophyta; Magnoliopsida; Malpighiales; Euphorbiaceae. The record is from RNAcentral.
ACCAGGCUUUGGUCCUUGGAUGAAAGCUGACUUUAUCCCAAGGUAACCCUGCCCAUCCCAAUACCUGACCCAAGCACUACCAAACCACAGUCCUUCCACCAAAUGCAUUAUCAACCAUCCCUUUCUCUUGUCCACCGGCUAAUCACCAAACCCCUUCUUCUUCGCAUAUCAAAGAAACCUUACAGAUUACAUUGCUAGAAUCCUCCCCCAACCGAUCGAAAGUUACAAAGUAGACAAAGGACAGCGGAGAUCGAGAUUGUUUUUUGUCUGCAAAGAGCAUUAAUGACGUUCCUACUAUUUUUAGAGAAAAGGAGUUCCUUGAAGAAAGUCAAUCAGAUUGUUUACCUAUUGAGGAAUCGUCGAGACAUGUGGCAAUCCUAAAGCCUCCUGUUGGCAGGUUGAGCUUUUAUAGUAAGGAAGAUUAGUUUACAUCUGCCUGUUGUUUGGUUUCUUUGCUUGUUUUCUUAUUUUUGUUUCAGAUCAAGGCCUUUCCAUUUGUGCUUCCCAUGUUUGCAUGUCGGCGUCUGGAGGUAGAGAUGGCUUGCUGCCAAAGAGCUUUCAUCUUCCUUACGCGGGCAUCGAUCUUCUGGAGGUGGCUUCCGUUGGCCCUAGCGGUGGAAACGAGAGGCGAUCUUGGACGUUUCCUAUUCCCUUUCUUCUAGCUUGUUUCAGAGUUGUAUGAACUUUUUACGCUGUUGUUCUCUGCAUGUGACCGAUCUCUUGCUCUCUCUUUCUUCAGUACGUGGUUUAAAGCCUCUGGCUAUUGUUGUGGGAGCUAACAGCGAUCGGAGCUGAUGGAGAUGAAGUGCGGCUCUUUCUGUAAUGUAAUCC